GGAUGAACGCUAGCGGCAGGCCUAACACAUGCAAGUCGAGGGGUAACAUAAGGUGCUUGCACUUUGAUGACGACCGGCGCACGGGUGAGUAACGCGUAUACAAUCUGCCUCAUACUAGGGAAUAGCCCAGAGAAAUUUGGAUUAAUGCCCUAUAGUAUCAUUAAGAGUCAUCUCUUUUUGGUUAAAGGUUACGGUAUGAGAUGAGUAUGCGUUCUAUUAGUUAGUAGGUGAGGUAACGGCUCACCUAGACUGCGAUAGAUAGGGGCCCUGAGAGGGGGAUCCCCCACACUGGUACUGAGACACGGACCAGACUCCUACGGGAGGCAGCAGUGAGGAAUAUUAGACAAUGGGCGAAAGCCUGAUCUAGCCAUGCCGCGUGCAGGAUGACGGCCCUAUGGGUUGUAAACUGCUUUUAUACAGGAAGAAAAAACUCUACGUGUAGAGUCUUGACGGUACUGUAAGAAUAAGGAUCGGCUAACUCCGUGCCAGCAGCCGCGGUAAUACGGAGGAUCCAAGCGUUAUCCGGAAUUAUUGGGUUUAAAGGGUCCGUAGGUGGACAAUUAAGUCAGAGGUGAAAUCCUGCAGCUCAACUGUAGAAUUGCCUUUGAAACUGGUUGUCUUGAGUCAUUAUGAAGUGGUUAGAAUGUGUAGUGUAGCGGUGAAAUGCAUAGAUAUUACACAGAAUACCAAUUGCGAAGGCAGAUCACUAAUAAUGUACUGACACUGAUGGACGAAAGCGUGGGUAGCGAACAGGAUUAGAUACCCUGGUAGUCCACGCCGUAAACGAUGGUUACUAGCUGUUCGGACUUCCGUCUGA
Molecule: ribosomal RNA, 817 nt
Filed under: uncultured bacterium
Lineage: Bacteria
Description: bacterial SSU rRNA
Rfam family: Bacterial small subunit ribosomal RNA
Source: RNAcentral